RNAcentral lists this ribosomal RNA (773 nucleotides) under uncultured Neocallimastigales. RNAcentral describes it as "partial large subunit ribosomal RNA". It matches the Rfam family "Eukaryotic large subunit ribosomal RNA", at positions 19 to 649 of the family's 3401-position model. The record is from RNAcentral. Lineage: Eukaryota; Fungi; Neocallimastigomycota; Neocallimastigomycetes; Neocallimastigales.
CGAGCACGCGCGUGUGGCAUAUCAAUAAGCGGAGGAAAAGGAACUAACAAGGAUUCCCUAGUAACGGCGAGUGAAGCGGGAAGAGCUCAAAUUUGAAAUCUUCAAGGUUCUACCUUGACGAUUUGUAGUUUAUAGAAGUGUUUUCUGUUAGUGGAGUGGCAAAAGUUCUUUGGAAUAGGACAUCAUAGAGGGUGAGAAUCCCGUAUUUGGUCAUUCCUCCUAGCGUUGUGAUACACUUUCAACGAGUCGGAUUGUUUGGGAAUGCGGUCCAAAAUGGGUGGUAAAUUUCAUCUAAAGCUAAAUAUUGGCGAGAGACCGAUAGCGAACAAGUACCGUGAGGGAAAGAUGAAAAGAACUUUGAAAAGAGAGUUAAACAGUACGUGAAAUUGUCAAAAGGGAAGCGUUUGACACCAGUGUUGUUUUUCCGAAAAUCAAUCACGAAUGUUUUGUUUUUAAGGAGUUAUGACUUCAUCGGCUUGCUUCUUUCUUUACGAAACUUUCUUAAUGCACUUUUCGGUUAACAAGUCAACAUCAAUUUCUUUUGUUGUAAAAGGGUAUGAGGAAGGUGGCUUUCUUUUCGGAGAAAGUGUUUAUAGCCUUGUGCCUCUGCAAUCGGAGAGAUUGAGGUCUGCAGCGUAGAUCCUUCGGGGUUAGAUACGUUUGUGCUAAGUUAUAGCUUUUCAUAGACAACUUGUUGACUAUGUUAAGUCUUGUAGCUUACUCGCUGAUGCUAUUUUACCUACGCUUAGGAUGUUGAGUAGCGACAUACGCAC